Molecule: ribosomal RNA, 497 nt
Filed under: uncultured bacterium
Lineage: Bacteria
Description: bacterial SSU rRNA
Rfam family: Bacterial small subunit ribosomal RNA
Source: RNAcentral
GCAUGCUUUACACAUGCAAGUCGAACGGAGGCCCUAGCUUGCUAGGUGUCCUUAGUGGCGCACGGGUGAGUAACACGUGGGAACAUACCUUAUAGUACGGAAUAACUGCGGGAAACUGUAGCUAAUACCGUAUAUUCCAGUAAUGGGAAAGAUUUAUCGCUAUAAGAUUGGCCCGCGCAAGAUUAGCUUGUUGGUGAGGUAAAAGCUCACCAAGGCUUCGAUCUUUAGCUGGUUUGAGAGGACGAUCAGCCACACUGGGACUGAGACACGGCCCAGACUCCUACGGGAGGCAGCAGUAGGGAAUAUUGGACAAUGGGGGCAACCCUGAUCCAGCAAUGCAGCGUGAGUGACGAAGGCCUUAGGGUUGUAAAACUCUUUCAUCGGUGAGGAUAAUGACAGUAGCCGAAGAAGAAGGACCGGCUAAUUCCGUGCCAGCAGCCGCGGUAAUACGGAAGGUCCUANCGUUGUUCGGAAUUACUGGGCGUAAAGCGCAUGUA